AUUGAACGCUAGCGGGAUGCUUUACACAUGCAAGUCGAACGGCAGCGCGGACUUCGUUCUGGCGGCGAGUGGCGAACGGGUGAGUAAUGUAUCGGAACGUGCCCAGUAGCGGGGGAUAACUACGCGAAAGCGUAGCUAAUACCGCAUACGCCCUACGGGGGAAAGCAGGGGAUCGUAAGACCUUGCACUAUUGGAGCGGCCGAUAUCGGAUUAGCUAGUUGGUGAGGUAACGGCUCACCAAGGCGACGAUCCGUAGCUGGUUUGAGAGGACGACCAGCCACACUGGGACUGAGACACGGCCCAGACUCCUACGGGAGGCAGCAGUGGGGAAUUUUGGACAAUGGGGGCAACCCUGAUCCAGCCAUCCCGCGUGUGCGAUGAAGGCCUUCGGGUUGUAAAGCACUUUUGGCAGGAAAGAAACGUCGCGGGCUAAUACCCCGUGGAACUGACGGUACCUGCAGAAUAAGCACCGGCUAACUACGUG
This 484-nucleotide ribosomal RNA is filed under the name uncultured bacterium. RNAcentral describes it as "partial 16S ribosomal RNA". It matches the Rfam family "Bacterial small subunit ribosomal RNA", at positions 30 to 507 of the family's 1533-position model. The record is from RNAcentral.